GUGAGGGACGAAGGCCUCUGGGCUGUAAACCUCUUUUCUCAAGGAAGAAGAACUGACGGUACUUGAGGAAUAAGCCACGGCUAAUUCCGUGCCAGCAGCCGCGGUAAUACGGGAGUGGCAAGCGUUAUCCGGAAUUAUUGGGCGUAAAGCGUCCGCAGGCGGCCUUGUAAGUCUGCUGUCAAAGAGUGGAGCUCAACUCCAUAGAGGCAGUGGAAACUGUAAGGCUUGAGUGUGGUAGGGGCAGAGGGAAUUCCCGGUGUAGCGGUGAAAUGCGUAGAUAUCGGGAAGAACACCAGUGGCGAAGGCGCUCUGCUGGGCCAUAACUGACGCUCAUGGACGAAAGCCAGGGGAGCGAAAGGGAUUAGAUACCCCUGUAGUCCUGGCCGUAAACGAUGAACACUAGGUGUCGGGGGAAUCGACCCCCUCGGUGUCGUAGCCAACGCGUUAAGUGUUCCGCCUGGGGAGUACGCACGCAAGUGUGAAACUCAAAGGAAUUGACGGGGGCCCGCACAAGCGGUGGAGUAUGUGGUUUAAUUCGAUGCAACGCGAAGAACCUUACCAGGGUUUGACAUCCUGCGAACCCCUGAGAGAUCGGGGGGUGCCUUCGGGAGCGCAGAGACAGGUGGUGCAUGGCUGUCGUCAGCUCGUGUCGUGAGAUGUUGGGUUAAGUCCCGCAACGAGCGCAACCCACGUCUUUAGUUGCCAGCAUUGAGUUGGGCACUCUAGAGAGACCGCCGGUGAUAAACCGGAGGAAGGUGUGGAUGACGUCAAGUCAUCAUGCCCCUUACAUCCUGGGCUACACACGUACUACAAUGCUACGGACAGAGGGCAGCAAACUCGCGAGAGCUAGCAAAUCCCAUAAACCGUGGCUCAGUUCAGAUCGUAGGCUGCAACUCGCCUACGUGAAGGAGGAAUCGCUAGUAAUCGCAGGUCAGCAUACUGCGGUGAAUACGUUCCCGGGCCUUGUACACACCGCCCGUCACACCAUGGAAGUUGGCCACGCCCGAAGCCGUUACUCCAACCCUUGU
This 1028-nucleotide ribosomal RNA is filed under the name Synechococcus sp. LEGE 11394. Its description in RNAcentral is "bacterial SSU rRNA". It matches the Rfam family "Bacterial small subunit ribosomal RNA", at positions 401 to 1444 of the family's 1533-position model. The record is from RNAcentral. Lineage: Bacteria; Bacillati; Cyanobacteriota; Cyanophyceae; Synechococcales; Synechococcaceae.